CACGGGGGGAGCAAGCGUUGUUCGGAAUCACUGGGCGUAAAGGGCGCGUAGGCGGCCUUCUAAGUCGAACGUGAAAUCCCUGGGCUCAACCCAGGAACUGCGUCCGAUACUGGAAGGCUUGAAUCCGGGAGAGGGAUGCGGAAUUCCAGGUGUAGCGGUGAAAUGCGUAGAUAUCUGGAGGAACACCGGUGGCGAAGGCGGCAUCCUGGACCGGUAUUGACGCUGAGGCGCGAAAGCCAGGGGAGCAAACGGG
This 253-nucleotide ribosomal RNA is filed under the name uncultured bacterium. RNAcentral's name for it is "partial 16S ribosomal RNA". It matches the Rfam family "Bacterial small subunit ribosomal RNA", at positions 524 to 776 of the family's 1533-position model. The record is from RNAcentral.